This 740-nucleotide ribosomal RNA is filed under the name uncultured bacterium. Its description in RNAcentral is "bacterial SSU rRNA". It matches the Rfam family "Bacterial small subunit ribosomal RNA", at positions 8 to 796 of the family's 1533-position model. The record is from RNAcentral.
AGAGUUUGAUCAUGGCUCAGAACGAACGCUGGCGGCAGGCUUAACACAUGCAAGUCGAACGCCCCGCAAGGGGAGUGGCAGACGGGUGAGUAACGCGUGGGAAUCUACCUAGUUCUACGGAACAACUGAGGGAAACUUCAGCUAAUACCGUAUACGCCCUACGGGGGAAAGAUUUAUCGGAAUUAGAUGAGCCCGCGUAAGAUUAGCUAGUUGGUGGGGUAAUGGCCUACCAAGGCGACGAUCUUUAGCUGGUCUGAGAGGAUGAUCAGCCACACUGGGACUGAGACACGGCCCAGACUCCUACGGGAGGCAGCAGUGGGGAAUAUUGGACAAUGGGCGCAAGCCUGAUCCAGCCAUGCCGCGUGAGUGAUGAAGGCCUUAGGGUUGUAAAGCUCUUUCAGUGGGGAAGAUAAUGACGGUACCCACAGAAGAAGCCCCGGCUAACUUCGUGCCAGCAGCCGCGGUAAUACGAAGGGGGCUAGCGUUGUUCGGAUUUACUGGGCGUAAAGCGCACGUAGGCGGAUUGUUAAGUCAGGGGUGAAAUCCUGGAGCUCAACUCCAGAACUGCCUUCGAUACUGUAUGGCUUGAGACCGGAAGAGGUAAGUGGAACUGCGAGUGUAGAGGUGAAAUUCGUAGAUAUUCGCAAGAACACCAGUGGCGAAGGCGGCUUACUGGUCCGGUUCUGACGCUGAGGCGCGAAAGCGUGGGGAGCAAACAGGAUUAGAUACCCUAGUAGUCC